Molecule: long non-coding RNA, 865 nt
Filed under: Equus caballus (horse)
Lineage: Eukaryota; Metazoa; Chordata; Mammalia; Perissodactyla; Equidae
Description: lncRNA (ENSECAG00000038434.3)
Source: RNAcentral
UGACUAUGUCACAGUGAACGAAACAAGCGCGUGGAAAGCUGCUCCCUGUGUCUCUAAAAGGCAGUAAACAUCACCAACAAUGUAUCCCGAGCAUACAUUCUGUGACGCACUAACAAAAGCAAUCACUAUAAAUCACGUUGGUCAAGGACGUGAUUCCGCGACGCCGCGCCCCUGAGCGGGCGGCGGCAACGGCCCGCGGAGUCCCUUUUCCAGGCAAACCCGCCACCGCGUGGACCCGAGCGGAACCGCACCGCCGGCCGGGAACGCCCACGCCGGGAGCCUGUCACCGCGACCGCGGACCCGCGAGCCAGACCCCAAAGGGGAAAGCAGGCGCCUUAGACGGCUACCUGUCUCCCUCUGAGCAGCUGAGGGGCCCACGCAGUGGCGGUCAGGACAGAGCCCGGGGAGUCCUGAGCAACCAUGCCCCCCCACCCCCGCCCCCACGCCCAGAGGAAGCUGUUCUCCGAGGAACCUUGACCUCCAGGCCAGAUGGAGACCGCAGCGAGGUGCACCAGUGCACCAGUGCUGAAGCCUUCACAGACGGCAACAGAAACCUGGAGACGCUUCUCCCCCCACAUGCACUCCCCUUAGGCUUGGGGGGAGGGAGAUUGUUCUUUUAAUUUUCAACAUUAUUGUUUUUUAAUUUCAAACCUACAAAAACAUUAAAAGAAUAAAGCAAAGAAACCAGUAUGUCUUGCGCUUAAAUUUGCUGUUUGAUUAGGAUCUAGCUUAUCCUGCCACUAUUUGUUCUUUGCCAAAACAAAUACACACACACGUAUGUGUUAUAAUUUCCACACGUUUCUUAGACAGAACUUAGCAAAAUAAAUGCAACUGUUUCGAAUUUUGCUUUUUUCUGUGAAUAUAU